AACGCACAUUGCGCGGUAUGGUAUUCCGUACCGCACGGAUGGAGGAGCGUGUUCCCUCUGGGAUCGCAUUGCUUUCUUGAAAUGGAUUUUUUUAAACUCUCAAUUAUUACGUCAUUUCACCUCCUUCAUCCGAGAUUACCCGCUGAACUUAA
This 152-nucleotide unclassified non-coding RNA is filed under the name uncultured Ascomycota. RNAcentral's name for it is "sequence contains 5.8S rRNA gene, ITS2, 28S rRNA gene". Lineage: Eukaryota; Fungi; Ascomycota. The record is from RNAcentral.